CAGCACAUGCAUGUGGAGAUGAGAGGGCAGCUUUGUGGAGUCAGUCAGGGAUUGAACCCAGGUCAUCAGUCUUCGUGUCAAGCCCCCUUUCCUGCUGCCCCACCUUGCAGGCCCUUCACUAUUUUCUCUCCUGUGCUCUCCCUUCCUUUGACCUUGUGUUGACCUUGCUUCCCUCUUCUCUUCCAUAACACAGAUGCUGAGAACACCACCCACUUGAAAGUCGUUCGUAGCUGACAUGCAUGUCAACCAGAGCCCUCUCUCUCCAGGGAUCAUGUUAGUCACACAGCAAAUUAGAAUUUGCUCUUCUCUGCUGCCAGGGGUCUUGGGACGACCUCUCUCAUGUGCUUGCUUCUGUGAGCUGUGAGGACUUUUGCCUUCUUUCUAAAGAAUUUUUUUUUUUAUUCUUUGACAGUUCCAUAUGUGUACACAAAGUAUGUUGAUCAUAUCCAUGUCAACACCCCUCUCACUCCCCCAGGUGUUCUCAGUACUUCCUCUUCCUCCUCCUCUUCUUCCUUCUUCUCCCACUCUUCUUUAAAAUAGCAGAGUCUUCUUUAAAAUGUACAUGAGUAUUGAGCCAUCCAAGGGGCAUGGGCACCCUACCAGCAGCCACACCUUUGAGGAAAAUUGGCCCUCCUUUUCUAGCAGCCAUCAGUUGUCAAUGGGUUCUCACCUAGGGACGGGCUUUUAUGAGCCCCUCUCCUAUCCAUGCUGGGAUGCUGAAUGGCUUGGUCCUGUGGAGGUCACCACAGCUGCUGUGAGUUGAUGAGUGCAAUGGCCGUGUUGUGUCCAGAAGACAGCAUGUCACAGCCCUCCCCCAGCCCGCCACUCUUUCAUUCUUCCUGAUUCCUUUUCCCCGAUGUUCCCUGAGUCCUGCAGGGAAAGGAUGGAUGUAGAUGUCCCAUUGAGGGUGAGAAUUCAGCAGUCACUUAUCCUCAGCACUCUAACAAGUCACGCGUCUCUCUCUGCGCUAACCACUACACUGCAAAGAGAAGCUUCUCUGACCAAGGUUGAGAGCAGAGCUAGUUUGUGGAUACAAACAGAAAUAUUUCUAAAGCAGUUUGAUAACAUGUCCAUUUAACAAAACAACAGCAUGACCUGUGACCUCCUGACCUCCAGCUUUUGACCAGGUGUACUUGACUUGGAUCCCUUCCUAUGAAGCAGACCUCAGAUCCCACCGGGAAACAGUUGGUUUACCCCAUGGCUGCCCUGCCACUAUCACACCAGCGGUCUCUAUUGAGGGUCAACACGAUGGGAUUCACAAUCACCAUGGAAACAAAGUCUCUGAGUAUGCCUGCCAGGAAGUUUCUAGGUUGUGGUCACCAAAGUGGGAAGAUCCACCCUGAAGGUUGGCAGCACCAUCUCCUGGUCUUGGGUCCUGGGCUGAGUAAAGGAGGAAGUGAGCUGAACACCAGCGUUCAUCUUUCUCUGCUUCCUGACUGCGGAUGUGACGUGACCGGCUGCCUGACGCUCCUGUCACUGUGCCUUUCCCUGCCAUGAUGGACUCUGCGCCCUCGAACUGUGAGCCACAAUAAAUCCUUCCUUCUUGAA
Long non-coding RNA from Peromyscus leucopus (white-footed mouse), 1548 nucleotides. RefSeq lists it as uncharacterized. NCBI's taxonomy places the organism in Eukaryota, Metazoa, Chordata, Mammalia, Rodentia, Cricetidae. The record is from RefSeq and is a predicted model, not a curated record. The transcript has 2 exons.